GUGGGGAAUCUUGCGCAAUGGGCGAAAGCCUGACGCAGCAACGCCGCGUGGGGGAUGAAGCUUCUCGGAGUGUAAACCCCUUUCGACCCGGACGAACCCCCGCAAGGGAUUGACGGUACGGGUAGAAGAAGCCCCGGCUAACUACGUGCCAGCAGCCGCGGUAAAACGUAGGGGGCCAGCGUUGCUCGGAAUUACUGGGCGUAAAGGGUCCGUAGGCGGUGCGGCAAGUCGGAAGUGAAAUCUCAGGGCUUAACCCUGAGGCUGCUCCCGAAACUGCCGUGCUCGAGUGCGAGAGAGGCGAGUGGAAUUGCAGGUGUAGCGGUGAAAUGCGUAGAUAUCUGCAGGAACAUCCGAGGCGAAAGCGGCUCGCUGGAUCGCAACUGACGCUGAGGGACGAAAGCUAGGGGAGCAAACAGGAUUAGAAACCCUAGUAGUCC
This 437-nucleotide ribosomal RNA is filed under the name uncultured bacterium. Its description in RNAcentral is "bacterial SSU rRNA". It matches the Rfam family "Bacterial small subunit ribosomal RNA", at positions 354 to 796 of the family's 1533-position model. The record is from RNAcentral.